AGACGGAGGGGGCUAGCGUUGUUCGGAUUUACUGGGCGUAAAGCGCGCGUAGGCGGCCGGUCAAGUUGGAGGUGAAAGCCCGGGGCUCAACUCCGGAAUUGCAUACGAAACUGCCCAGCUAGAGUCUCGGAGAGGAGGGCGGAAUUCCCGGUGUAGAGGUGAAAUUCGUAGAUAUUGGGAAGAACACCAGUGGCGAAGGCGGCCAUCUGGAUCGGUUCUGACGCUGAGGCGCGAAAGCGUGGGGAGCAAACAGGAUUAGAAACCCCAGUAGUCC
RNAcentral lists this ribosomal RNA (274 nucleotides) under uncultured bacterium. Its description in RNAcentral is "partial 16S ribosomal RNA". It matches the Rfam family "Bacterial small subunit ribosomal RNA", at positions 523 to 796 of the family's 1533-position model. The record is from RNAcentral.